UACAGAGGUCUCAAGCGUUGUUCGGAUUCAUUGGGCGUAAAGGGUGCGUAGGCGGGUUUUUAAGUCAGGGGUGAAAUCCUGGAGCUCAACUCCAGAACUGCCUUUGAUACUGAAGAUCUUGAGUCCGGGAGAGGUGAGUGGAACUGCGAGUGUAGAGGUGAAAUUCGUAGAUAUUCGCAAGAACACCAGUGGCGAAGGCGGCUCACUGGCCCGGUACUGACGCUGAGGCACGAAAGCGUGGGGAGCAAACAGG
RNAcentral lists this ribosomal RNA (253 nucleotides) under uncultured bacterium. RNAcentral describes it as "partial 16S ribosomal RNA". It matches the Rfam family "Bacterial small subunit ribosomal RNA", at positions 524 to 776 of the family's 1533-position model. The record is from RNAcentral.